UCCUGGGUCCUCUCAUGGCCUAAUGCUCUUUAUCCCGCUCAUGCGACAAACGUGGCCAGCGAGCUGUGAUCAAACCAUGCUUUCAUCCCUCCUCUUCGUCUUUCCUUCUCUCAUCAGCUGGAAAGCUUCAGCAGCAGGAUGCCGCAGAUUAACAAACCACCUCCCUCCUCCCAUCCAGUGCAGAGGAUGCUCCCUCUUUGACAACGAACCUCUACUGCUACCUUCUGGCCGCAGCUAAAAUAACAGCCAGAUCUUGUGGUGUCAACCUAGUGAAAGCAUGCCCAAAUAAACUACAGUAUUCAAGA
Molecule: long non-coding RNA, 305 nt
Organism: Girardinichthys multiradiatus
Lineage: Eukaryota; Metazoa; Chordata; Actinopteri; Cyprinodontiformes; Goodeidae
Exons: 2
Source: RefSeq, a predicted model, not a curated record